CCUACGGGCGGCAGCAGUGGGGGAUAUUGCACAAUGGGGGGAACCCUGAUGCAGCGACGCCGCGUGAGCGAAGAAGUACCUCGGUAUGUAAAGCUCUAUCAGCAGGGAAGAAAAUGACGGUACCUGACUAAGAAGCCCCGGCUAAAUACGUGCCAGCAGCCGCGGUAAUACGUAUGGGGCAAGCGUUAUCCGGAUUUACUGGGUGUAAAGGGAGCGCAGGCGGCCUGCCAAGUCUGGUGUGAAAUCCCGGGGCUUAACCCCGGGCCUGCAUUGGAAACUGGCGGGCUGGAGUGUCGGAGGGGCAGGCGGAAUUCCUAGUGUAGCGGUGAAAUGCGUAGAUAUUAGGAGGAACACCAGUGGCGAAGGCGGCCUGCUGGACGAUGACUGACGCUGAGGCUCGAAAGCGUGGGGAGCAAACAGGAUUAGAUACCCCUGUAGUC
RNAcentral lists this ribosomal RNA (440 nucleotides) under uncultured bacterium. RNAcentral describes it as "partial 16S ribosomal RNA". It matches the Rfam family "Bacterial small subunit ribosomal RNA", at positions 338 to 795 of the family's 1533-position model. The record is from RNAcentral.